AGAAAUAAGAGCUCCUGAGACCCUGCUGGAUACAAAUGCCCUGUACGACCUAAGGGCCUCCACAGCAGGAACAAAAGGAAUUUUGUCUGAGAUUUUAGCAGAAAAGUAAUUUUUGAAAUCUAUUCUUGGAUUUAGACGUUUAUUGGAUUUCAAAGCUUCUUGCUGCCCAGGAGCUUGUGAAUACGGUCAAAGGUCCAUGAAAUUUCCAAAGUGGUACCACAGCAGAUGAACCUGAAUGCAAACUGGAGGGACCAACAGAGUCCAGCCUAUAGACAUAAAUCCUUAACUACACCUAGAUCUCACUGUCUUUUCCAAUGGUCAAAAGAGGGGCUCUUGAAAUGGCUCCAUUGUUUUAUAGAAACAAGGUCUUCCUAAGAAGUCUUUUUCUCCUAUCUUUUUCUUACCCAAAAUAAAGGAAUGGCCCAAAACCUCAAGCCAAGCUUACCAGCUAUAAACAACUUGGUGGUCAGCAGCCAAAAGAAGAGUGGACAUGCCAUGGUCAUGUGGCACGUACCCUAUACAAGCUUCACAGAGAAGAAUGGAAGCACUUGAUUGUAAGACAGAGGGUGAGAUGUGAGAGGAAUAUUAACCUUCACUUUCCACAGGCAUUUUUUUCUGCAAAUGGCACCAGCUUUUGGACUUAAAAUUUUAUUCCAAAUACUAUUUAGAUGCAUCAGGGCCCUCAAAAUAUGGAUUUCAAGUUGGAGACAUCAAAGUGCAUUAUUUACUAAAACCACUGCAGCUUUUUUCCCCUCUCCUUUCACAAGAUGCUAUUGUAAAUUCAGGCUGCUUUAAUCUCUGUGAUUAAAAAAAAAAAGGAAGAAAGAAAAAAAAAGUGCUGCUUGAAGAGGAACUGAACUCACAAUCUGGGAGCUAGAAAGUAAAUAUUACCCAGAGAGUACCUCACUUUAAUUACUGGCCUGAACAUUGGUUUCAAUUUACAUGUAUUUUAAUUAGCCACAGAAGGGUUCACCUAUUACUCUCUGAAUACAAAACUUAAAAAGCAAACAGAAAAUAGGGAAAGAAAGGCUUAUUUAAGGGCCUCCAAGGAUUAAUCUUUGCAUUCUUCUCAUUUUUUCCCCGAAUUUGGGGAUAAAAUUUGUCGCAGGGAAUUUGAUCUUAGGGAAACAUUGAGUUUGGUUUGUGAACACAAGCUACUUCUGAACACUAUUUUAGCAAACAGAAUUUUAGAAGCAUAAGGCUCUAGCAGAGGGCUAUACAGAAUUUUGCAUAAACUAAAUAACAACCGUUUCCUCCUGAAAUGCAGGAAAUCAAGCUGCACGGGUAUGUUUGCUGAUUGGUCCUUAGGUCUUCAGCAAAGCUUGGACCACUUGGCAAAGUCUUCUGUCUCCAGAGGAAUGAUGGGAAAACUAUGGGACAAAAGUCAGGAGAGUGGUGCUGGCUGAUCCUGGCCUGGACAUUGACUCCCUGGGGACUUUGGAGCCAGCAGCUGAUAUUGACUAGCAGGUCACAGUGGCAACAGGAAGAUGAGAAGUUUCUGAAUGGAGCUGCACUCCGAGGCUGCUAACAAUAGUGGAUAUUAAGACAACUGACUUUUUUCUAAUGGAGGAAGGUGGAAGGGAGAGUUCAUGCAACUUCCCAGUGAGAUCCACCAUCGUUUCUCCUGCCUAUGCCCACAGGGCACUUGGUUUAUCCUGCAACUGC
This 1665-nucleotide long non-coding RNA is filed under the name Homo sapiens (human). RNAcentral's name for it is "HSALNT0386288". The record is from RNAcentral. Lineage: Eukaryota; Metazoa; Chordata; Mammalia; Primates; Hominidae.